UUAAUUUUUAAAACAGGGUUUCUCUGAAUAGCUCUGGCUCUCCUGGAACUCACUUUGUAGACCAGGCUGGCCUCAAACUCGGAGAUCCCCCUGCCUCUGCCUCCCAAGUGCUGCGAUUAAAGGUGUGCUCCACCACCUCCCUGCUGUCAUAUCUAUUCUUAAUUCCAGAAACUCCAUAGUGUUCUCUCUAGUGGCUGCACCCCUUCCCAAACCUGCCAAUGCAGUUCAAAGGUCCCACAUCCUUGCUCUCCCCUCCUCUCUUUCCUCUCAGCUUCCCUUUCUUUUUCUGUAUUUUUUCAUGUUUAUAUGUGUGUGGUGUGGCCAAGGAUGUGUGUGCAUGUAGGUCAGAGGUUGGCGCCGAGUAUAUUCCUUGAUUGCUUUAUUUACUCAGGCAGGGAUUCUCACCGAACCUGAAACUUGUUUGGGGAUCCCCUGUCUCUGCCUCCAAGGGCUGUGAUUACAGUGGCCACCAUCCCUGCUGGCCUUUAUGUGGGUUCUGGAAAUCCAAACUCUGGUCCUCACACUUGCAUAGCAAGUCCUUUAUGGGCUGACGGCUCCGAGUCCUCUGCAUUUUUAAUGGUAGCGGUGCCAGUAAGUAUGAAGCAGCAUUUCAUUGUGGUUUUGACUUGAAUUGCCCUAAUGAGAAGUGAUGUUGAACCACGAGGAGAGGAGAGCCUCUGUCUGUCUCUGUUCCUCUCUCUCCCCCCCUCUCCCUCCCUCUCUUUCUCUCUGUUUUUCUUGUGUGUGCACAUGUGUGUGCAUGCAUGUGGAAACCAGAGGUACGGACUGAGCGUUGUCCUCCAUCACUCUACACCUUUUUUCUCUGAGACAGCGUCUCUCACUGAACCUCAAGCUUGCUGAUUUGUCUUGACUGAUGGGCUAGAGAGCCCAGGGGAAUCGAUCCUCCUGUCUCGCCUCCUGGUUCCGGGAUUACAGAUGCACACUGCCAUGCCACCACAACCCUGCACCCACUUAAAAACAAACCGACAGGGUUUCAUGAUGUUGCUGCCACUGGCCUGAAAUUCAUUUGGUGUAUCAGGUUUGCCUCUGCCUCUCAAGAGACCCAGCUGCCUCCUGAGUGCUCAGACUAAGGUGUGGGAAGACCCAGAGGCAAACCUGCCAUGCCGAGUAACCAGUCGGAGAACAGUGAGGAGCUGUGAGGAUGGCCGGAAGGAGUCGAGUGGCCAGAACUCAGAGGGGUCCUACAGAGCGAAGGUCGUCUGGUGAUUCAGAGGAGCAGAGGGUCCUCGAUGUCACCUGUGCUGCAGAGUCCCCUGAGAAGGUGGAGUCUGGAAACUUCGGCCCCAUCCACUCACUCAGUGUACCUGGCCUCGGUGACACUGUUGACAGUCAGAGUAGUAUACACGUGGAAAAUGCUCUGAAACUGGGCAUGGUGGGGCACAUGCCUUUAAUCCCAGCACUCCAGAGGCAGAGGCAGGUGGAUCUGUGAGUUCAAGGUUAGCCUGGUCUACAGAGUUGAGAUCCAGGACAGCCAGGGCUACACAGAGAAACCCUGUCUCGAAAAAACAAAAAACAACAACAACAAAAAAGAUGUGUGCCGCCACACCUAGAUGUGCCCAGCAGUCUUGAGGAGAUAGAUGAACGAGGUGGGGUCGUGGAGCAUGUAAAGGGGGAUCGUCACCUCUGCCACAGUGGCCAGCAAAGCUGCAGGCAAGUUCAGUCCAGAACGUCUGCUCAGCGCCACGUCAUUCCCUACCCGAGAGCCUUCUUUGCUGUGUCUUUCACACGGGUGUUGUCCUAACUGUACCUCAGGGAACAGCCCUUCGGCAUCGUAGAGGAGCCUCCAUCGGUAGGAGCUGCUCUCCCAAGAGUCCAGCAGCGUGGUGAAAGAGGAAGUCGGGACAUUUUUGUUGAGACUGCCGGUGGACAGUGCCGUGCAGGGAGAGCGGAGGAUUUGCUAGGCAUCCCUCUCCUGCCAUCUGCUGGAUGGAUAAGAGGAUUAUGAACAGAUCCAGCGGGCCGGAUGCCCAGGAGAAAGGAGUGUUUUCAGGGGAGGAAAGAGGAAGGCAGUAAAUGCAGCACCACUCUGUGCUGAGGCCUAAUCCUGGGCCACGUGCUCCUGGUCGCUUCAGCUACCUCAUCAGCAUUACCCAGGAAUCUGUGAGUUUGGGCAUCUGCAAGAACUACGUCACCACUCUCCACUCUGUUACCAGCUGCAAAUGCCAUCAGAGGCUGGCCUUCGGAAAUGUGAAAGUCCAGAAUUCACAGGCAUUCACUGGACGCACCGGGGCAAAGCAUUUAAAUGGAAAAUUCUAGAAGUAAGCAGUGUUUAGUUAUGCCUCAUCCUGGAUAUUAUGAUGAAUUUGAAUUUGGCUCUGUCCUGCUCUCUCCCACCCAGGACACGAACUAUCCUUUGUCCAGUGUAUCUGUGUGAGCAUGUGCUAAUAGCCAUCCCCAUGGUCAGAGUGACUGCCGUGGUCCCACAUGCUUGUGUUCCAGCUGCCUGUAUUUCCCUCAACAGUGUUCCCUCAACACUAGGGAUGCUGGCUAUGUUGUUAUAGUCCAUCUGUCUCAUUGUUGGUAGUCUCUUUCUGGGUCUUAAUUUGUAAACUAAACCGUGUGCUAAGUGCGUGUAGAAAAAAGCACAGUGUAGCCAGGGUUUGCUGUUAUCGUCUGUUUUGAACACUCUCUGUGGGUCUUGGAAGGUAGCCCCACAGAUGAGGGGGACAGCCGCGCUCGUGAAGAAUGGGUUCUUGCUGACUUGUGACACCACCGAGGAGGUGGCUGCGAAGCCUCGCUCUGGAAAUGCGUCCUCUGUCCAGUGGAGAUCGAGAGGGAAGAUGUGUCUGGAAUCAUGGUUUCAGAGGUGUCAGCCCGUGCUCAGUCACUCUGUUCUUCUGGGCCUGCGGUGAAUGUUGCAGGAACUUUCCCUGGUGAGAUAUAAACAAACGCUUUUCUUACUCCAGACAAGGCACCAAUGACCAACCAGAGGGAUGGCUCUAUCCAGGCCUUCCUCGGUGAAUCAAUGAGCUUGUUUGGCCUAUAGAGUCAUGGGCGAGACGUUAGUAACAGGAGUGUGGGUGACUCCCAACAGCGAUAUUACUGAAACAUCUCAUCCUGGCAUGGAUAAUGACUUCCUCAGAGCCGCACAGACAGGGACUUCCCAAGACUAGUCCAGCUACAAGCGGUACAGAAGGGAGUGGCUGCAACCUCAGAUGGGUGUCCAGUGACCCGCCUCCUCCUCAUCUGGUUUUACGAGGGAAGGGAACAGGCCUGUUCCUGAGGACCUCCUGUGAGCAGCCACAGCUGCUCCAGUGGAGACAGUAGUAACUGUUACGGUCAGAGGAAAGCGUCCCGUAGCAGGACAGAGUAUCUUGGCAGAGCAUCCCAUAGCAGGACAGAGCAAAGCUUCUCACCUCCCAGAAGCCAGCAAAAAGAAAAUCGGGGAAGGGCUGGCCUCCCAAUGUCCCCUUCAAGGACAGGCCUCAAGGGACCUAAUUUCCUCUCACUUGGCUCUACCUUUUAAAGGCCCCACCAUUUCCUAAUAACACCACAUACUGGUACCAACACAUGAGCCUUUGGGGACACUUCAGAUCUGAACUAUAGAACCUGCUGAAACCCUACCAUCAAACGGUAACUCCUUGCUCUUCUCCUUCCCUAGCCUCUGGUAAUUAUUUUUAUUUCUGUUUCUGUAAUUUGACUCCUCAGUGUACCUCAUUCAUCCUUUUGUGACUAGCUUAUUUCAGUUAGCACAAUGUCAUUAAAGUUCAUGGAUCAGAAUUGUGGUGAUAUUUGUAAUCUAAGACAUAAAGCUUGCCUGAAGAUCAGAGGACAGAGCCAGCCACAGAGUUAACAUAGAGGACAAGCUGUGGGGGCAGCAGUGGGGGCACACACCUUUAAUCCCAGCACUCAGGAGGCAGAGAUCCAUUUGGAUCUCUGUGAGUCCAAAGCCACACUGGGCUACAUGAGAUUGAUCCAGGCUAGGAGAGAGACGGAGCCAGGCAGUGGUGGUGCACACCUUUAACCCCAGUAUUUGGGAAGCACAGAUGCCUUUAAUCCCAGCACUAGGAAGGUUGAGAUAGGAAGUGAAAUGGCUGGGUGGAGAAAGGCAUAUAAGGUGUGAGCCAGGAACUAGGGCUUUUUGGCUGAGGACUCAGAGGUAUUCAGUCUGAGGAUUCAUGGGGACAGGAUUGGCUGAGGAGUUGGUGAGGUGAGAACUGGCUGUGGCUUGUUCCUUUGUUUCCUCUGAUCUUUCAGCGUUUGCCCCAAUAUCUGGUUCUGGGUCAUAUUAGAUAUCAUAUCAUAUCAGGGUCAUAUUAGAUGGUGUGUUAGUAUUUUUAUUACCAUGACAAAUAACUUACAGAAACAUUUUAAAACAGGAGAGAUUUAUUUUGGAUCAUUUCCAGAGGUUUUAAUCCAUAGUCUGCUGGCUCCAGUAGUUUCCACCAUCGUUCAAUACUGUCAUUAAUUUCUAAGUCAGUGGGUUAGAUGUCCAACCUUUUAAUAUUGGGCUAUAUUCCUAGCUAUCCUGGGAUGCAGCCUGAGAACCACAGGUUGACACUCUGGGUUCAUCCAUGGAUAAAAUCGGAGGCUUCAUGAUAUAAUUGCCUCCCCAGAGCCCAUCAGCUGAUAGCCACACCUUUAAUACAUUCGUUUUUUUGGAAGGCAUUUCACAUCCAAAUCACCACAUGCAAUAAGUUUAUAUUUCAUCUGUUUAGGACUUACGUACUGUUCCAGAUGACCACUUUACAUAUGCCAUUUCAUGUAAUACUCAUGGAACUUCUGAGAGGAAGGACCAUUGUUCUGUUCUGUUCUUUUCUUCUUUCUUUCUUUCUUUCUUCUUCUUCUUCUUCUUCUUCUUCUUCUUCUUCUUCUUCUUCUUCUUCUUCUUCUUCUUCUUCUUCUUCUUCUUCUUCUUCUUCUUUUGGUUUGGUUUGGGUUUUCAAGACUGGGUUUCUCUUGUGGAACACUCCUCGCUGUCCUGGAACUCACUUUAUAGACCAGGCUGGCCUCGAACCCACAGAGAUCUGCCUGCCCCUGCCUCCGAGUGCUGGGAUUAAAGGCAUGCGCCAUGACCGCCCGGCUCGUUGUUUAUGUCUUAAUAUAUGAGGAAAUAUGAAUCAGAGGGAGUUAGCUUGCCCGUGGCCAGAGGGCCAAACAGUGAGAGAGCAGGAGCAAAAGCAAACAUCGCAAGUUCACAUCACAAGGUGCCUGUAGUGGCUUGGGAGUCACCGGAGUGUGUGUGUGUGUGUGUGUGUGUGUGUGUGUGUGUGUGUGUGUGUGUGUGUGAAGGAGCUGGGACUGCCAGUUGCUGGUGAGUGAGAAAAUGGUGCAGCUACUGUGGAAAAUGGGCUGCAGCCCCUCAGUUAAGGGUAGAGUUGCCAUCUGCCCCAGCAAUUCCAUUCCUAGGCAUUUACACCCCUCCCCAAAUAAAAACAAAAAGUCUAAAACCCAACAAAACAAAUUGACCGUGAACUUUCAUAACAGUGCAAGUCACAAUGGUCAAAGGGCAGAAGCGGCCCAGAAGCUCCACGAUGGAUGGACAGAGUGUGGCACAUCCGCAUGGUGGCUGUCACUCAGCAAUAAAAAGGAAGGAGGAGCCAGUGUGUGUUGCAAUGUGGGUGAACCCCCAAAACGACAAUUCAAAGAAGCUGCCACAAGAGGCCUUUCUGUGCUAUUCCGUUCACAUGAAGUAACCAGAAGAGCUGAACCCACAGACAGAGGCAGAUCAAUGGCCGGCAGGAGCUGGAGAAUGGAGUUCUGGGGACUGAGUAGUGUGAUGAGGGCUCUUAUGGGGAAUGACAGUGUGGAACUAGAUGGUGGGGAGGGUUGUCAACAGCGUGAAUGUUCUAGAACCUCUGCAUGGCAUUCUUAAGAUGAAGACACACACACACACACACACACACACACACACACACACACACACACACACAAAUUGUUGAAUAUUUUUGGUUGUUUUGUGUUUAAGACAGGGUCUCAUUCUGCCCAUCAGGCUGGCCUAGAACUUACAGUAACCCUCUGCCUCAGCCUCCCAAGCGCUGCGGUUACAGAUAUGAGCCACCAACCAGCUUCUUUUUUCUUUUUUCUUUUUGCAUAUGAAAUAAUGAGUUUCAGUAUGAAUCAUUACAGGCUUCUGGCAGGAGUGUCACCUGAAAAAUGUUAUCAGAAGCAGCUCCACAGAAUGACUUAAACUGGGUGAGCCAUUUCUUUAUUCUGUUUGAAUGAUUUUUGAAUAUAAUUUUGAUUAGAGUAUUUCACACAUUCCAAAACCCGCAGAAAAUACAACACCUACAUGCCUGUCGAACAUAUCAGCAGAGGUUAACAUUUUGUCAUAUUUACUUCUGAUUUCUCUACUUAAACAGUCAAGUAUUACAAAUACAGGCUUAGACACACACACACACACACACACACACACACACACACACACACACACACACA
This is a long non-coding RNA of Peromyscus californicus insignis, 6399 nucleotides long. RefSeq lists it as uncharacterized. The transcript has 3 exons. NCBI's taxonomy places the organism in Eukaryota, Metazoa, Chordata, Mammalia, Rodentia, Cricetidae. The record is from RefSeq and is a predicted model, not a curated record.